This 30-nucleotide non-coding RNA is filed under the name Rattus norvegicus (Norway rat). The record is from RNAcentral. Lineage: Eukaryota; Metazoa; Chordata; Mammalia; Rodentia; Muridae.
GCUCAUUUGGUUUCUGAAAUGGAUGCUGGA